RNAcentral lists this ribosomal RNA (372 nucleotides) under uncultured bacterium. RNAcentral describes it as "bacterial SSU rRNA". It matches the Rfam family "Bacterial small subunit ribosomal RNA", at positions 524 to 898 of the family's 1533-position model. The record is from RNAcentral.
UACGGAGGGUGCAAGCGUUAUCCGGAUUCACUGGGUUUAAAGGGUGCGUAGGCGGGUUGCUAAGUCCGUGGUGAAAUCUCCGAGCUUAACUUGGAAACUGCCAUGGAUACUAGUAGUCUUGAAUAUUGUGGAGGUAAGCGGAAUAUGUCAUGUAGCGGUGAAAUGCAUAGAUAUGACAUAGAACACCUAUUGCGAAGGCAGCUUACUACGCAGUUAUUGACGCUGAGGCACGAAAGCGUGGGGAUCAAACAGGAUUAGAUACCCUGGUAGUCCACGCCCUAAACGAUGAUUACUCGACGUGCGCGAUACACAGUGCGCGUCUGAGCGAAAGCAUUAAGUAAUCCACCUGGGAAGUACGACCGCAAGGUUGAA